UCUGGCUGGAACAUCUGCCACUGUGCUAAUCCCCAGGGUUGAUUUGGCUGAUCUGACUGGCUGGGUGCUGUUUCCU
This 76-nucleotide small RNA is filed under the name Ictidomys tridecemlineatus (thirteen-lined ground squirrel). Its description in RNAcentral is "7SK RNA (ENSSTOG00000023532.1)". The record is from Rfam by way of RNAcentral. Lineage: Eukaryota; Metazoa; Chordata; Mammalia; Rodentia; Sciuridae.